UACGAAGGGGGCUAGCGUUGUUCGGAAUUACUGGGCGUAAAGGGCGCGUAGGCGGCCACCGCAAGUCAGUUGUGAAAUCUCUGGGCUUAACCCAGAACGGUCAGCUGAUACUGCGGGGCUAGAGUGCAGAAGGGGCAACUGGAAUUCUCGGUGUAGCGGUGAAAUGCGUAGAUAUCGAGAGGAACACCUGCGGCGAAGGCGGGUUGCUGGGCUGACACUGACGCUGACAGCGCGAAAGCUAGGGGAGCGAACGGG
RNAcentral lists this ribosomal RNA (255 nucleotides) under uncultured bacterium. Its description in RNAcentral is "partial 16S ribosomal RNA". It matches the Rfam family "Bacterial small subunit ribosomal RNA", at positions 524 to 776 of the family's 1533-position model. The record is from RNAcentral.